UACGUAGGUGACAAGCGUUGUCCGGAUUUACUGGGCGUAAAGCGCACGUAGGCGGUUCGUUAAGUCGGAUGUGAAAGCCCUCGGCUCAACUGAGGAAGUGCACCCGAAACUGGCGAGCUUGAGUACGAAAGAGGAUCGCGGAAUUCCCGGUGUAGAGGUGAAAUUCGUAGAUAUCGGGAGGAACACCGGUGGCGAAGGCGGCGAUCUGGGUCGAUACUGACGCUGAGGUGCGAAAGCGUGGGGAGCGAACAGGA
RNAcentral lists this ribosomal RNA (254 nucleotides) under uncultured bacterium. RNAcentral's name for it is "partial 16S ribosomal RNA". It matches the Rfam family "Bacterial small subunit ribosomal RNA", at positions 524 to 777 of the family's 1533-position model. The record is from RNAcentral.